Molecule: small RNA, 295 nt
Filed under: Mus pahari (shrew mouse)
Lineage: Eukaryota; Metazoa; Chordata; Mammalia; Rodentia; Muridae
Description: sRNA (MGP_PahariEiJ_G0008132.1)
Source: RNAcentral
AGUAUAUUAAAACUAACUGCUUAGCCAUCUGUCACCUCACUGAUCACCAGGAUUGAUUAGAUUUAUCUGGAUGCUUAAUCUAAUGUUCCCUUUCUUUCGAGCCACUCCAGCUCCAUGUGUGUGCCUCAAACUGCACACUCAAGAAGGUAGAUGACAUCAGAGUCUUUGAAAAGGGUAGUUGUGCUCCCAUGUCAAGAGUUUAUGCAACAAGGAUAACAACUCUGGACAUUCCUGGCUACUGUUUGGCAAGUCCAGAGACAAUCCUUUCAUUUGAUUCUCAAAUUACUGUCCUAAA